RNA transcript from Ricinus communis (castor bean), 886 nucleotides. It is a transcript of the gene named signal peptidase complex subunit 1, with no coding region annotated. The transcript has 2 exons. The record is from RefSeq and is a predicted model, not a curated record. Lineage: Eukaryota; Viridiplantae; Streptophyta; Magnoliopsida; Malpighiales; Euphorbiaceae.
CCUACAAUUCCUAGUACUUGAAAAGUUUUAUGUCCUUCUCUAUAUUUAGUCAUAUGUUUACAGAAACAUAUUUAGAUUUUUCAUUUAUUGAAACCUUACAUAAUUAUAUUUUUAUAAUCAUCUGCAUGUUCAUGACAUUAAUUAAGAUUGUAUUUUAUAUAAUCUAUAUAUCACUUGUGAAAGUUAGAUAUUUAUUGAGUUUAAAUCUCUUUAAUGAAAAUUUACCAGUUUAUAACUAGUGAGAGUAAGUGAUAGAAAAUGAAAAAUGACAUAAAAUUAAUUUCAAUUCGCGUUCCAAAAAGAUUAAACCAGAAUUUUUUAACUUUGUGGUAAAUAGCACUGCUAAAAAGGGCAUUUUACUUGUGGUACUUUCCCAGUAAUCUGAUCCAACGGUUGUCGAUCCACUUAAUCAAAUACUUUACCAUUUAGUUCCACCUUCAUUUCGAAUUCCUCUCUCUUCCGGACACCAUCGCUCUCUUCGGCGUGAUCUGAACAUACUCUUUUAUCUCCGUCACUUCAAUUCCUCCGAAUGGAUUGGCAAGGGCAAAAGCUAGCGGAGCAGCUAAUGCAGAUCAUGCUGUUAAUAUUUGCGGUGGUGGCUUUCAUGGCAGGCUACGCAACGGGUUCGUUUCAAAUGAUGAUUCAGAUUUACGCUGCUGGUGUUGUUCUCACUACUUUAAUUACUGUCCCUAAUUGGCCUUGGUUUAAUCGUAACCCUCUUAAAUGGCUUGAUCCUACCGAAGCCGAUAAGCAUCCUAAGCCUCAGGUUCAAUCUGUUACUUCCAAGAAGAAAUCAUCUAAAAAAUAGAAACGAUUCUUGAAAAUCUUAAGUCUUUUAGCAAUCCCUAGGGUUUGUUUUUGAUCGAACAGUGAACGAAUUGGAUGU